GGUUAUGACUAUUCAGCCUACAGUCAGUGGGACUACAGGGACAAUUACAGUUACUACGAACAGGACUAUUACCGAGGACAGCACCAGCACCCAGAUGGAGGUCAGUGGGGACAACAUGAGUCCUGGCAAAGGGAACAGUAUCAAGAACACGCAGAAAAACAGAAAAACAUUUCAACCAACACAGAGGAGAGGUAUGACCAAAGGAAAGAGAAUGCACAAAAAUACAAAAGCAACUAUGAGGACACUACAAC
Periophthalmus magnuspinnatus is the source of this 251-nucleotide long non-coding RNA. RefSeq lists it as uncharacterized. The record is from RefSeq and is a predicted model, not a curated record. Lineage: Eukaryota; Metazoa; Chordata; Actinopteri; Gobiiformes; Gobiidae. The transcript has 3 exons.